Molecule: transfer RNA, 98 nt
Filed under: Armillaria luteobubalina
Lineage: Eukaryota; Fungi; Basidiomycota; Agaricomycetes; Agaricales; Physalacriaceae
Rfam family: tRNA
About the family: Transfer RNA (tRNA) molecules are approximately 80 nucleotides in length. Their secondary structure includes four short double-helical elements and three loops (D, anti-codon, and T loops).
Source: Rfam by way of RNAcentral
GGCACUAUAGCCAAGUGGUUAAGGCGACAGAUUAGAAUGGCAUAAAGCUGAUCAUCUGUUACUCUCUGAGUGCGCAGGUUCAAAUCCUGCUGGUGUCG